Molecule: long non-coding RNA, 2237 nt
Filed under: Canis lupus familiaris (dog)
Lineage: Eukaryota; Metazoa; Chordata; Mammalia; Carnivora; Canidae
Description: lncRNA (ENSCAFG00805014981.1, ENSCAFG00845018956.1)
Source: RNAcentral
AUCAACAUUUAUUGAGCAUGUAUGUGCGAAAUGCGUUCAUUUAAAUCAAGGUUUCUCCACCUCAGCACUAUUGACAUUUGGGGCUGGGUAGUCGUGGAGCCUGUCCCGUACAUGGUAGGAUGUUUAGCAGCAUCCCUGAGCUCUAUCUACCGGAUGCCAAGAGCACCAGACCCCCCGUUAUGACAACUGUAAGUGUCUCCAGACAUUGCCAAACAUCCUGGGAUGGGGGGAUGAGGAGGAUGUCCUUGUGAAGAACUACUGAUUGCAAUUAUCCAGUUGAGUUAAAUAAUUCACAACAACCCAGCAAAGUAAGGCUUCCGCGGUCUUCGCUGUGCCAGGGUCAUGCUGUGGUCUACGCAGACCCGGGUGGGAGCCUCCUCCUUUGUCACUCUGGUUUCCCCUUAGUCUCCUGGCUACCCAAGCAGUAUAGCUUGUGCCAAACGUCUCACCAGACUCGACCAUGACGUGACACUGUUUCUUCUACUUCUCUUCCUGUAUCCCCGGGCUCCGAGAGACCCAGACUGGGUCUGUGGGGCUGGGGAAACUAGGCUAUCACAGGGCUGCUGCUUGUCCCGCCUCCCUUCUCUGAUGGAAGGUAUUCACUCAAACCUUAAAAGUGUCAGGACACAGAGGGAUAAGAAUCUAACUCCCAUCAAGCACUAUCUGCCAGGCAGCAGCUAGUAACACCUGCUUUACCCCUGAGUUGCUCAAUUCUAACGUGGGUGGCUCUCGCUCGUUUAAAGGCAAUGAAUGAACGUUUUCAGGCUACUUACUGUCUGAGCUCUUGUAAGGUAGAUGGAGGUUUACAACCCCCAGGGGGGUCUUGCAGUGUAAGCUGAAACUGGCCCCCAUGUGCAGGGAGCAGCGAGACACUAAACAAAGAGGCAGGUAGGUGGUGGGUGGCAAUUUUAAUAACAGCAAAGGGAACUUACAGAAGAGGCCUGUCUUAGGUGGCAGUAAGAUCAAUGGGUCCCAGGAUACGUCCUCCAAAUCUUAAAAGCUUAAGAGGCCCUCACUGGGUUCGGUUACGUAUGUACGUAUUCCGUGCAGCUGUUUUCAACAUCACAUCACCAUCUCCAGGCUGUUAGACAGGAAAGGCAAGCGGAACAUUCCAAGGGGAGGGGCGUGGAGCCUCUGAUCCCCCAGGUCCAGCUCACUGGUCAGUGUACGGUGGGAUGAUUUGAUUUUCGGAUAUAUUGCAAAAUGUUUACCACAGUAAGGUUAGUUAACAUAUCUUCUGCAAACACAUCAUUUUGUCGUCGUCGUUGUGGUUAUGGUAAGAGCGUUAAAGCUCUACUCUCAGAGCAACUUUCAAGGAUCCAAUCUACAGUAUUGUGGAUAGUCACCAUGCUGUGCAUUGGAUCCUUGGAUCUUAUUAGUCCUGUAACUGAAAGUUUGUACCCUUUGACCAACAUCUCCCCACGUUUCCCCACCACUCAGCCCUUGGCAACCACCAUUCUACUCUGUUUCUAUGAGUUUGAUGUUUUUAAAUUCUGCAUAUGAGAGAUCACAUAGUAUUUUUCUUUGACUUAUUUCACCUAGAGGAAAGCCCUGGAAGUCCAUUCACAUUGUUGCAAACGGAAGGUCUUCCUGUGUCCAGGGCUGAGUACUGCUCCACUGUGUAUAUAAUCACAUAUGCACAGGCUCAUCCACUCAUCUUUUGACGGACACUUACGUUGUUUCCAUGCCUUGGCUAUUGUAAAUAAUGCCGUAAUGAACCUGAGACUGCAGAUACCUUGUCAGUCUCCUGUUUUCAUUUCCUUUGGAUAUAUACCCAGAAGUAGGAUCACUGGGGCACAUGGUAUUUCUAUUUUUAAUGUUUAUUUUUCAUUUAUUUUUUAUUUUUAACGUCUUGAGGAACCUUGGUACUGUGUUCCAGAGGGGCUGUGCCAGUUAUAUUGCCACCAACAGCACACAUUGUCUUCACAUCUUCACCAACACAUGCUGUCUCUUAUCUUCUUGAUGGUAGCCAGUUGAACAGAUGAGCAGUGAUAGUUCACAGCACUUCUGAUGUGCAUUUCCUCGAUGAUUAGUGAUGUGGAACACCUUUCCAUAUAACAGCUGGUCUGUCUUCUUUGGAAAAGAGUCAUUUUUUUCAUGUCUCUCAUGAAUAAACAAAAUCUUUUAAAAAACUGGGAAGAUAAAUCUAUUGGAGGAUAUAGUUCAUAUGGAUUUAGAAACUGAAUUUUGAUUGAAAUAAAUCACCGAUGGUCUUCAAAACAAAACAAAAGCUAACA